AUUUCAAUACGCUGUGUUACUUUCAAGGCGGGUUGGCAGAAUAAUGGCAGCAGGACCUCUCCAUGUCUGACUAAAGGUUAUUGACCCCUAAACUGGCAAAAGUGACACCCCCAUUUGAUACGUUUUGUCCCAGGACUCCCCAUGUGAUCGAAGCUUGCCUUGUUAGAUGUUUACUGCAUUCAUCUGAGGAAACCAUGGAAACCCCUCAAGGACCCCUGGGGGUCACCGGACCUCAGUUUAAAAUCUACGGGUCUGCUGCGUCUCUAUCUCUGCAGAGUGACAAACGCUUAUCACCCAGGAGCAGUUUCAUUGCACUGCAAUGCUCUUGUAACAGCCUGAUGAUUUGAAAAUGAUUAAGGGGUGAUCAUUUGAUGUACAAGAACUAACUUGUAAAAGUAACACUUUCUUUUUCUAACUGACGGUUAUGUUCCAGAAACGUUUUCCUGUUUCCUGUCUUUAUGCUACGCUACACUAGGCUAACUAGCUGCUUGCUCCAACUUUGCGAGUAUUGUACAGAGCGUGGUGUUAAUCCUCUCAUCUAAUCGGCCAGGAAAGACUGCACGCCUGUUUCUCAACAAGUCAAACUAUACUCCUUUAGGGAAUGUGAUGAGACGGCACGACACCUUAUCUUUCGCUUUGUUAAGCAUAACAAAAUCCAUAUCAUGUUUUCCUCAACUUGGGUCCAAGGACAAAGCCUACAGGUUUACUCAGCAAAGUAUGAGGAUUAUGCUCACAUCUGAGAUUUGCACAUUUAUUUUCACUGUCUUCAAAGUGAAGGUGGGUGCAAACAUUCCCACAAUGAAACAUAAUCAGACACUGGAUUCAGCUCGUCAUUCUAGCUGAAUGAGUGUUUUUUUGUGUGUGUGUGUGUGUGUGUGUGUGUGUAUGAGUGUGUGCCAUCACACGUGCAUGUAUACACUCGUUGCUAAGCAGACCCAGGUGGUUAGUGUUUUUAUUGAUAUCGCAGGACCUUUACAGACCCACUUUUACUACGACUGUGCAGGUGUGACUGAUCAUUUAACACAUGAAAAGAGACGGCAGUCAAACAAGAACCGUUCUGUGUU
Gasterosteus aculeatus aculeatus (three-spined stickleback) is the source of this 1064-nucleotide long non-coding RNA. Lineage: Eukaryota; Metazoa; Chordata; Actinopteri; Perciformes; Gasterosteidae. The record is from Ensembl.